RNAcentral lists this small RNA (97 nucleotides) under unclassified sequences. Its description in RNAcentral is "NAD+-I sequence". It matches the Rfam family "nadA riboswitch". The record is from Rfam by way of RNAcentral.
GGCUGCAACAACCCCGUGAGUGGUUUUUUCCUGGUUUUUGGAUUUUUUCCGGUUUCAGGGGAGAAAUCCAGACCAAAAAGGCGCAUUCACUGCAGCC